CGUCCAAACGUUAUUCGGUAUCACUGGGCUUAAAGCGUGCGUAGGCGGCUUGGUAGGUGAGAUGUGAAAGCCCACGGCUCAACCGUGGAAUUGCGUUUCAAACCCCCAAGCUCGAGGAAGAUAGGGGUGAUGGGAACUUAUGGUGGAGCGGUGAAAUGCGUUGAUAUCAUAGGGAACACCGGUGGCGAAAGCGCAUCAUUGGAUCUUUUCUGACGCUGAGGCACGAAAGCUAGGGUAGCGAACGGGAUUAGAUACCCCGGUAGUCCUAGCCGUAAACGAUGAACACUGGGUUGAGGGGACUUCCACAUCCUCUCGGCCGUAGCGAAAGCGUUAAGUGUUCCGCCUGGGGAGUAUGGUCGCAAGGCUGAAACUCAAAGGAA
Molecule: ribosomal RNA, 380 nt
Filed under: uncultured Planctomycetota bacterium
Lineage: Bacteria; Pseudomonadati; Planctomycetota
Description: bacterial SSU rRNA
Rfam family: Bacterial small subunit ribosomal RNA
Source: RNAcentral